UGGGGAAUAUUGGACAAUGGGCGAAAGCCUGAUCCAGCCAUGCCGCGUGUGUGAAGAAGGUCUUCGGAUUGUAAAGCACUUUAAGUUGGGAGGAAGGGCAUUAACCUAAUACGUUAGUGUUUUGACGUUACCGACAGAAUAAGCACCGGCUAACUCUGUGCCAGCAGCCGCGGUAAUACAGAGGGUGCAAGCGUUAAUCGGAAUUACUGGGCGUAAAGCGCGCGUAGGUGGUUUGUUAAGUUGGAUGUGAAAUCCCCGGGCUCAACCUGGGAACUGCAUUCAAAACUGACUGACUAGAGUAUGGUAGAGGGUGGUGGAAUUUCCUGUGUAGCGGUGAAAUGCGUAGAUAUAGGAAGGAACACCAGUGGAGAAGGCGACCACCUGGACUAAUACUGACACUGAGGUGCGAAAGCGUGGGGAGCAAACA
This 427-nucleotide ribosomal RNA is filed under the name uncultured bacterium. RNAcentral describes it as "partial 16S ribosomal RNA". It matches the Rfam family "Bacterial small subunit ribosomal RNA", at positions 355 to 774 of the family's 1533-position model. The record is from RNAcentral.